UAACCUUCCGAGCGAUAUUUUAUUGCCGGGCCUUUGGCGAGGGGAGGCAAACCGAGGCGCCUAGGCGCCUGCGGUUUUCCCCCGCUUAAACUUGAAGCUAGCCGGGCGAGCCCACUGCAACGACUUGUAAAAUUUUAUCUGUCGGAAUGCGGUGGUGACCUUGCACGGCCCUAACCUUUGAC
This 182-nucleotide unclassified non-coding RNA is filed under the name uncultured Ascomycota. RNAcentral's name for it is "sequence contains ITS2". Lineage: Eukaryota; Fungi; Ascomycota. The record is from RNAcentral.